GACGAACGCUGGCGGCGUGCUUAAUACAUGCAAGUCGAACGGAAAGGCCCUGCUUUUGUGGGGUGCUCGAGUGGCGAACGGGUGAGUAACACGUGAGUAACCUGCCCUUGACUUUGGGAUAACUUCAGGAAACUGGGGCUAAUACCGGAUAGGAGCUCCUGCUGCAUGGUGGGGGUUGGAAAGUUUCGGCGGUUGGGGAUGGACUCGCGGCUUAUCAGCUUGUUGGUGGGGUAGUGGCUUACCAAGGCUUUGACGGGUAGCCGGCCUGAGAGGGUGACCGGCCACAUUGGGACUGAGAUACGGCCCAGACUCCUACAGGAGGCAGCAGUGGGGAAUAUUGCACAAUGGGCGGAAGCCUGAUGCAGCAACGCCGCGUGCGGGAUGACGGCCUUCGGGUUGUAAACCGCUUUCGCCUGUGACGAAGCGUGAGUGACGGUAAUGGGUAAAGAAGCACCGGCUAACUACGUG
RNAcentral lists this ribosomal RNA (468 nucleotides) under uncultured bacterium. RNAcentral's name for it is "partial 16S ribosomal RNA". It matches the Rfam family "Bacterial small subunit ribosomal RNA", at positions 28 to 507 of the family's 1533-position model. The record is from RNAcentral.